RNAcentral lists this long non-coding RNA (2548 nucleotides) under Nicotiana tabacum (common tobacco). RNAcentral describes it as "long non-coding RNA (NTAB_LNC007168)". The record is from RNAcentral. Lineage: Eukaryota; Viridiplantae; Streptophyta; Magnoliopsida; Solanales; Solanaceae.
AAACAAUACUGGUCCUAUUGGAGGAGUCCUUCAUACAAUUUAAUGCGCUCUCUGCACAUGCUUUUUGCUUCCCUUGUUUCUGGAUUGCUCUUUUGGGAUAAGGGAAAGAAACUGUAAGUCAAAAUACUGUUAAACCAAAGCUUCAAUUAACUUACCGACAACAUGCUUCAUUAUACCGUGCGAAUUAAAAACUUUAUACAUCCUCAUAUAAAUUUCUUGGCCACUUCUAAGUAACAUAUUUAUCCCAAAAGUGAUGCUUAAAGUGAUUGUCAUGACACAGUUGAAAACGGAAUUAGGUCGUCUGAUCCAAUAUUUUCCGCUCAGAUAUCCUUUCCUGUACAGUUUGUUAACAUUCAACAUUUUGGCUUAAUUUUAUCUUUGUUGACAUCACCCACACAGCUAAAACCGAACUCUGGAGUUUCAUUUUUGGUUUGUGAAGGUUGAUGCAGAACUGAAGUUCUGUUUAAAUGAUGUGACUAUCUCUCUCCCAUGAUAAUGGACUUGGUUACAUCAACUAAAAUAGAGUCACUUUAUAUAUACAUGUACAUUGCAUAUAUAUGUAUAUAGACACACACACGUAUAUAUGUUAUCUUAUACUUAAGCAGCUUGAUUAUUUUUCUUAGACUGUUCUUUUGUUUCUCUUCCUCUUUUUUGACAGAGAUAACCAGCAGAGCGUCUUCAGUGUAUUUGGUGCUAUGUUCACUGCAGUAAUCUUCUGUGGCAUAAAUAAUUCAUCUUCUGUUUUACCAUAUGUGACCACAGAGCGAUCAGUCCUAUACCGGGAAAGAUUUGCUGGGAUGUAUGCAUCAUGGGCUUAUGCAUUAGCACAGGUAUAUAUAAGGAUUACAAAAUUGGCAUGUUGACUACUUGAAGUUACUGGGGAUUCAGUAAUGCCAAAUCUUACACUUGUCUUCAACAGUUCACUGCUUCAUAUUUGAGUUGAGUACCAUGAUUUUGUAGGUGGCAAUUGAAAUUCCAUAUCUUUUAGCUCAAGCGCUUGCAUUUACUGUCAUAACAUAUCCGAUGAUUGGAUAUUAUUGGUCGGCCUAUAAGGUUUUCUGGUACUUCUAUUCGAUGUUUUGCACAUUGUUGUACUUCACGUACUUGGGAAUGAUGCUUGUUUCAAUGACGCCAAGCUUUCCAGUAGCUGCAAUUCUUCAAUCAUCCUUUUACACAAUGUUCAACCUCUUUGCUGGCUUCUUGAUGCCAAAGGCCGUAAGUGGUUCAGAAUUUAAGCCACUUUGAAUGUAAAAAUCAAUGAUAAUUUUGUAAUUACCUCAGUCAGUGUGUGACAUUUCAAUUUUUGUUUCUUUUCCCUACAUUGCAGCAAAUUCCCAAAUGGUGGAUCUGGUUCUAUUAUCUAACACCUACAUCUUGGACGCUGAAUGGGAUGCUUACUUCACAAUAUGGAGAUAUAGAAAAAGAAAUUACCGUGUUUCAAGAAAAGAAAACAGUAGCAGCCUUUCUUGGGGACUAUUUUGGUUUUCACCACAAUCAAUUACCUAUUGUAGCAUUUGUUUUGAUUGCAUACCCCCUAGUUUUUGCUAGUCUAUUUGCAUUUUUCAUUGGGAAGUUGAACUUCCAGAGGAGGUGAUAUUGCAACUUAUUCAUUGUAUGUUUCAAAUUAAAUAGUUUCCAUGUUACUUUUGUACAUUAGACUGGGGGAAAAUAAGGUUAUGGUAUAUUCAUAAUACCAGGGAGAGAAGUAUGGGAUCUGAUAAGAUGCAUGAAUUUCUAUUCUGUCUUUUCUAAGAGUAGAUGAGAGUUUAAAGAUUAUAUUAAAACGGUAAAAACUUAAGUGUUUGAAGCAAUUCCAUUCACAGAUAUUCAGAAAUUGUGGUACUGUCAAAUUACCUCAAGUUGAGAAGGUAAAGGCAUUCUUGGUAGGAAGUAGAAGCAUUCAAACCGCAACAAAGAUUUUAUCACUACCGUUAAUAGUAAAAAUACAGUUACACUACCAUUAAAUGCUAAGCAUAAGCAUCUAGAUAUCAUACAUGUAUGCACUUACGUGAGUUGGGACAAAUAAGGUCCAACCCCAUAUCAAUUAAUAGCCUGAAAAUGAAUCUGUAGCCUACGAACAAUUAUUUACAAUCAUCUCAACAGCUGAAUUGCUCAGAUAAAUUACUGGGGAAUAAAGUUCUUAACAAAUUGCACAAAAUCGAGCUAUGAGCAAAAUAACUUAGUGCUUUCACAAAUAAGAUAAUGGACGAGACAGAUGAUGGAUUGCGUAGAGGUGUUCAAACACGCAGCGGAAGACAAUAACAAUCCUAGAUAGAACUUUUCGUCUUUAAAAUUUAUUUACAUGUCAAAGAUAGGAUCUAAGACGUACCUGGUGAAGAGAGUAUCAUUUUAGAGUUUUCUUCGAUAGUGCGAACACUCUAUGCGUAUCCACACCGAGACUGAUCCUUGCUAUCAACUUUUUGAUAAAUGAAACCCGCGAGCAAAUUGAACGAAUUAUUGUGCUAAAGUUCUUUUCAAAAACUUUAGCUCAUAGGUGAAAGACCAAGAAACUAAAUUUUCUUGUCCAAGAGUAUUUCUUGACUCUNNN